This 500-nucleotide ribosomal RNA is filed under the name uncultured bacterium. Its description in RNAcentral is "partial 16S ribosomal RNA". It matches the Rfam family "Bacterial small subunit ribosomal RNA", at positions 30 to 523 of the family's 1533-position model. The record is from RNAcentral.
AUUGAACGCUGGCGGCAUGCCUUACACAUGCAAGUCGAACGGUAACGGGUCCUUCGGGAUGCCGACGAGUGGCGAACGGGUGAGUAAUAUAUCGGAACGUGCCCAGUGGUGGGGGAUAACUGCUCGAAAGAGCAGCUAAUACCGCAUACGACCUGAGGGUGAAAGGGGGGGAUCGCAAGACCUCUCGCUAUUGGAGCGGCCGAUAUCAGAUUAGCUAGUUGGUGGGGUAAAGGCCUACCAAGGCAACGAUCUGUAGUUGGUCUGAGAGGACGACCAGCCACACUGGGACUGAGACACGGACCAGACUCCUACGGGAGGCAGCAGUGGGGAAUUUUGGACAAUGGGCGCAAGCCUGAUCCAGCAAUGCCGCGUGCAGGAAGAGGGCCUUCGGGUUGUAAACUGCUUUUGUCAGGGAAGAAAUCUUCUGGGCUAAUACCCCGGGAGGAUGACGGUACCUGAAGAAUAAGCACCGGCUAACUACGUGCCAGCCGCCGCAGUAA